RNAcentral lists this ribosomal RNA (130 nucleotides) under Microcebus murinus (gray mouse lemur). Lineage: Eukaryota; Metazoa; Chordata; Mammalia; Primates; Cheirogaleidae. The record is from RNAcentral.
GUCUAUGGCCAUACCACCCUGAACACUCCUGAUAUUGGAAGCUAAUAAGCAGGGUCGGGCCUGCUUAGUACUUGCUUGGAUGGGAGGUCCCUUAAUUAACUCUAUCUAUGUAAGCAAAUGGUUAUAAAAU